Long non-coding RNA from Chinchilla lanigera (long-tailed chinchilla), 1187 nucleotides. RefSeq lists it as uncharacterized. The record is from RefSeq and is a predicted model, not a curated record. The transcript is spliced from 3 exons. Lineage: Eukaryota; Metazoa; Chordata; Mammalia; Rodentia; Chinchillidae.
CAAUGGAUAAAGUACUCACUGGAUAUUGAACUGUAAGCGACACAGAGGUAAAAGCUAAGGGGUAGUGAAAUGAUGAAGGGCCCAAAGGUAACAGAUCAAAGGACUGUGGGCUGAAGCCUCUGAAUCCAUGAACUAAGGUGAGGUAUUCAGAAGAUAUCAGGCUGGGAGGAGACAGCAGGAAACUGAAAGAGUCACUCAGCAUGGGAUUGGAAGUCCAGAAUGGGAGUCGCUCACUUGGAGGUGUCGUUCAUGUGGUAAGUUGUCACUAGUCUGCAAAUGAAGCCUUAAGUCAUCAUAUUUUUGUUAAAUAUCCUCAUGGUGGGUGAUUUUGGACACUGGUCCUUGCAAAGCAACUUCCACAUAUUUUUGAUGAUGUCUCACACAUAGGCAACCAGUCCCGUUUGUUCUUUCUUGCUGCUUAACCCAUGCUGCUGCCAGUGAUUCCUGGAAAGGACCGGCCCUUGGACCCACCCCUACAUCACCAGUUCUACACCAAACCCCUUUGUGGACUCAACCAACACUUCUCUGGACUCUUCACAGCCCUGCAAAGACUGAGUUGGAAUUAACGAUCACCAGGUCUUUGGGUAUAAUGAAAUGAAGUGUGUAUAAGACAGAAACUCAUAGCACCUUUAGAUGAGGCUUCUCUGAGAUCUCCGGCUCAUGACUGUUCUGGGGCCUUAAAAGGGCCAUUUCCUUCCUGCAUAUGGCAGGGAACAGCCCUGACCUAUCUGCAAAACGAUCCACAUUUUACAGUGCUGGAAAAGGGAAAAGAAUUUUCUUUCCCUUCAAGUCUGUGGCUACCUCUCCUCCUUCACUCAACCAGAAUCUGCCUCUUUCUAGAAUGAGAGGAAGUGGGCAGCCCUGUCAGAGAAAUCUGUCUGCCUUAUUCCUCGUCCCACCACUCACUUUGUGGUCUGGUCCUAUCUUCUCAAAGUUUGGUUUAUCCAUUCUUGAAUACCAUAAAAAGAGAAAGGCCACAAGCCUAUUCCAUUCCUUCCCAUGGUCUUUUCUGCAGUGAACUGAUCGUGCAGCAAUCUGCUCUGUCCUGUAGAUCUCUGCAGUUAGUCUUCUACAAUUCUGAAAGAGAAAAGAUCCACUUAUUGCAAAGCAACAAAAAAAAAAUCUGCAGAGAUCAAUCCAAUUCUCAGCAGUGACCAUGUAGAGAAUUCAUCUGAUUUAUCUCAAAA